CUACGUGCCAGCAGCCGCGGUAAUACGUAGGGUGCAAGCGUUAUCCGGAAUUAUUGGGCGUAAAGGGCUCGUAGGCGGUUCGUCGCGUCCGGUGUGAAAGUCCAUCGCUUAACGGUGGAUCCGCGCCGGGUACGGGCGGGCUUGAGUGCGGUAGGGGAGACUGGAAUUCCCGGUGUAACGGUGGAAUGUGUAGAUAUCGGGAAGAACACCAAUGGCGAAGGCAGGUCUCUGGGCCGUUACUGACGCUGAGGAGCGAAAGCGUGGGGAGCGAACAGGAUUAGAUACCCUGGUAGUCCACGCCGUAAACGGUGGAUGCUGGAUGUGGGGCCCGUUCCACGGGUUCCGUGUCGGAGCUAACGCGUUAAGCAUCCCGCCUGGGGAGUACGGCCGCAAGGCUAAAACUCAAAGAAAUUGACGGGGGCCCGCACAAGCGGCGGAGCAUGCGGAUUAAUUCGAUGCAACGCGAAGAACCUUACCUGGGCUUGACAUGUUCCCGACGAUCCCAGAGAUGGGGUUUCCCUUCGGGGCGGGUUCACAGGUGGUGCAUGGUCGUCGUCAGCUCGUGUCGUGAGAUGUUGGGUUAAGUCCCGCAACGAGCGCAACCCUCGCCCCGUGUUGCCAGCGGAUUAUGCCGGGAACUCACGGGGGACCGCCGGGGUUAACUCGGAGGAAGGUGGGGAUGACGUCAGAUCAUCAUGCCCCUUACGUCCAGGGCUUCACGCAUGCUACAAUGGCCGGUACAACGGGAUG
Molecule: ribosomal RNA, 750 nt
Filed under: human gut metagenome
Description: bacterial SSU rRNA
Rfam family: Bacterial small subunit ribosomal RNA
Source: RNAcentral